GCCUGUGUGGUGUAGUGGUUUGAAUGCUGGACUACAACUCUGGAGUCAGGAUUCAAUUCCCCACUGGGU
This is a non-coding RNA of Phrynosoma platyrhinos (Desert horned lizard), 69 nucleotides long. NCBI's taxonomy places the organism in Eukaryota, Metazoa, Chordata, Lepidosauria, Squamata, Phrynosomatidae. The record is from the annotation of a GenBank genome assembly.